GGCCUACGGGAGGCAGCAGUGGGGAAUAUUGCACAAUGGGCGAAAGCCUGAUGCAGCGACGCCGCGUGAAGGAUGAAGUAUUUCGGAAUGUAAACUUCUAUCAGCAGGGAAGAAAAUGAAGGUACCUGACUAAGAAGCCCCGGCUAAAUACGUGCCAGCAGCCGAGGUAAUACGUAGGGGGCAAGCGUUAUCCGGAUUUACUGGGUGUAAAGGGAGCGUAGACGGCGAUGCAAGCCGGAUGUGCAGGCC
Molecule: ribosomal RNA, 249 nt
Filed under: uncultured bacterium
Lineage: Bacteria
Description: partial 16S ribosomal RNA
Rfam family: Bacterial small subunit ribosomal RNA
Source: RNAcentral